CAUUUCAUUAAAAAUGAAAGAAUGUACUGCUCUAUUAUUACUCUAAAUGGAAAAAGGUAUACAACACUCAAAUUUAUCCUGUCAAAGCAACAUAAAUGAAAAGGAUUCCUACUUCAAACUACAAAAACAUGGCUACUAUAGACAAUGAGAGAGAGCUCACUGUAACUAAUGUGCCUAAAAUUUCACAGGCGGAAGGCCAAAUUUUUUUUUUCCUUUCUCUUUGUUUUGUUUCCUAGUGUCCCUCCUAGAAUAGUCAGCAACCAACAGAGCAGGCAUCCGAAGCUUUUUGCAACCUAAACCAUAAUCUAUACCUCAUAGUCUAGGGCUCAGGCUGCUGCCGGGAUCGGCCCAUCAUAUCUGAAACCCCGACCACGUCCACGGCCUCUGAAUCUGCCUUGUCCACGUCCUCGCCCUGCAGGUUUUGAGUAGUUUAAUUACAGUUUGCAGAAGAUAUUAUACUCCAAAAGGAGUAUAUAUCAAUUUAACUAAAGAGAGCAAAAUAUUGUGCAAUGCACCCCCAUGUAUUUGCUGCAACUGAACUCACUAGAGCAAAUCCAAAGUUAAAAACAGGUGAUCGAAACCCAGAGGUAUUGUCUAAAGGACAUAUUUUCUUUUACUUGCAUUUGGAUUUGUAUAGCCAUGCAAGCAGAACACACAAGAAGGCAAAAUGACAUGAAUUAAUUACAUAACACUAAAGAAGUAAAACUUAACCAAAAAGCCAGAAACAUAAUGCAUGAAGAUAUGAAACAAAAGCAUGGCAAAACCCAUCACAACAAAACUCCCCAAUAACUUAAUCAAAACCCAGAGAAACUAUGGAUUCACCACAAAAAUACAAUCCGAUCAUACCAGCAUAGAAGAGUUAGUCACAUCAAGCAAAUACUGACAGACCCAUCAAUCACAAGCACUCAAAAGCCCAACAUGGGAGUUGAACUCUACAAUAAGAUAAUAUAUUAGUAUUUGAUAUCAGUGUCAAUUUUUUAUUUUUUUUUUGGUAUAUGUAUUUAGAAAAAAUAGAUUUACAGUAACAGAGANN
RNAcentral lists this long non-coding RNA (1033 nucleotides) under Citrus x clementina. Its description in RNAcentral is "Citrus clementina (C. clementina) long non-coding RNA (CCLE_LNC003084)". The record is from RNAcentral. Lineage: Eukaryota; Viridiplantae; Streptophyta; Magnoliopsida; Sapindales; Rutaceae.